AGAAUCAACGCUGGCGGCGUGCCUAACACAUGCAAGUCGAACGAGAAAGUGGAGCAAUCCAUGAGUAAAGUGGCGCACGGGUGAGUAACACGUGACUAACCUACCCUUGAGUGGGGGAUAACCUAGGGAAACCUGGGCUAAUACCGCAUAAUACCUUCGGGUCAAAGGAGCAAUUAGCUUAAGGAGGGGGUCGCGGCCGAUUAGUUAGUUGGCGGGGUAAUGGCCCACCAAGACUGUGAUCGGUA
Molecule: ribosomal RNA, 245 nt
Filed under: uncultured bacterium
Lineage: Bacteria
Description: partial small subunit ribosomal RNA
Rfam family: Bacterial small subunit ribosomal RNA
Source: RNAcentral